RNAcentral lists this ribosomal RNA (389 nucleotides) under uncultured bacterium. RNAcentral describes it as "bacterial SSU rRNA". It matches the Rfam family "Bacterial small subunit ribosomal RNA", at positions 28 to 417 of the family's 1533-position model. The record is from RNAcentral.
GACGAACGCUGGCGGCGUGCUUAACACAUGCAAGUCGAGCGGUAAGGCCCUUUCGGGGGUACGACGAGCGGCGAACGGGUGAGUAACACGUGGGUGACCUGCCCUCAGCUCUGGGAUAAGCCUGGGAAACCGGGUCUAAUACUGGAUAUGACUCCAUGACGCAUGUUGUGGGGUGGAAAGCCUUGUGCGGCUGAGGAUGGGCCCGCGGCCUAUCAGCUUGUUGGUGGGGUGANGGCCUACCAAGGCGACGACGGGUAGCCGGCCUGAGAGGGCGACCGGCCACACUGGGACUGAGACACGGCCCAGACUCCUACGGGAGGCAGCAGUGGGGAAUCUUGUGCAAUGGGCGAAAGCCUGACGCAGCGACGCCGCGUGAGGGAUGACGGCCU